RNAcentral lists this ribosomal RNA (497 nucleotides) under uncultured bacterium. RNAcentral's name for it is "partial 16S ribosomal RNA". It matches the Rfam family "Bacterial small subunit ribosomal RNA", at positions 28 to 507 of the family's 1533-position model. The record is from RNAcentral.
GAUGAACGCUGGCGGCGUGCCUAAUACAUGCAAGUCGAGCGAACGGACGAGAAGCUUGCUUCUCUGAUGUUAGCGGCGGACGGGUGAGUAACACGUGGAUAACCUACCUAUAAGACUGGGAUAACUUCGGGAAACCGGAGCUAAUACCGGAUAAUAUUUUGAACCGCAUGGUUCAAAAGUGAAAGACGGUCUUGCUGUCACUUAUAGAUGGAUCCGCGCUGCAUUAGCUAGUUGGUAAGGUAACGGCUUACCAAGGCAACGAUGCAUAGCCGACCUGAGAGGGAGAUCGGCCACACUGGAAGUGAGACACGGACAAGACUCCUACGGGAGGCAGCAGUAGGGAAUCUUCCGCAAUGGGCGAAAGCCUGACGGAGCAACGCCGCGUGAGUGAUGAAGGUCUUCGGAUCGUAAAACUCUGUUAUUAGGGAAGAACAUAUGUGUAAGUAACUGUGCACAUCUUGACGGUACCUAAUCAGAAAGCCACGGCUAACUACGUG